Molecule: ribosomal RNA, 485 nt
Filed under: uncultured bacterium
Lineage: Bacteria
Description: partial 16S ribosomal RNA
Rfam family: Bacterial small subunit ribosomal RNA
Source: RNAcentral
GACGAACGCUGGCGGCGUGCUUAACACAUGCAAGUCGAACGGGGCUCAUCGCUUCGGUGGUGGGUCUAGUGGCGAACGGGUGAGUAACACGUGGGCAACCUGCCCCCGGCUCUGGGAUAACCCCAAGAAAUUGGGGCUAAUACCGGAUGUGACCGCUGGCCGCAUGGUCUGGUGGUGGAAAGGGUUUCCGGCUGGGGAUGGGCCCGCGGCCUAUCAGCUUGUUGGUGGGGUAGUGGCCUACCAAGGCGACGACGGGUAGCCGGCCUGAGAGGGUGACCGGCCACACUGGGACUGAGACACGGCCCAGACUCCUACGGGAGGCAGAAGUGGGGAAUAUUGCGCAAUGGGCGGAAGCCUGACGCGGCGACGCCGCGUGGGGGAUGACGGCCUUCGGGUUGUAAACCUCUUUCAGCAGGGACGAAGCCGCGAGGUGACGGUACCUGCAGAAGAAGCACCGGCCAACUACGUGCCAGCCGCCGCAGUAA